CCCGGACCUCUUGCACCGACAGCAAAUCCUUGCGUGGUGCCCAAAUCUCCGGCUUUUACCCCAAAACCCAGCCCUGACCCUCCUCUGCAAGGCCUCCGGCUUCACCUUCAGCAGCACCCACAUGGUUUGGGUGCGACAGGCACCCGGGAAAGGGCUCGAGUGGGUCGCGAGUAUUGACAGCGGUGGUAGCACCACAUACUACGCGUCGUCGGUCAAAGGGCGCUUCACCAUCUCAAGGGACAACUCCCAGAGCACGCUCAAGCUGCAGAUGAACAGCCUCAGGGCCGACGACACGGCCACCUACUACUGCACGAAAGACGCUGGUGGUUAUUGUGGUGGUGCUGGUUAUG
This is a non-coding RNA of Balearica regulorum gibbericeps (East African grey crowned-crane), 350 nucleotides long. The record is from the annotation of a RefSeq genome assembly. NCBI's taxonomy places the organism in Eukaryota, Metazoa, Chordata, Aves, Gruiformes, Gruidae.